Molecule: non-coding RNA, 45 nt
Organism: Schistosoma rodhaini
Lineage: Eukaryota; Metazoa; Platyhelminthes; Trematoda; Strigeidida; Schistosomatidae
Source: Rfam
AUCCAGCCGACGAGUCCCAAAUAGGAAGAAACGUGCGUCCUGGGU